CGGGUGUUGAUGUAACCUGGUAGCAUGAGUGAUUUGGAUUCACUUCGUCGGGGUUCAAAUCCCCGGCACCCGACCA
This 76-nucleotide transfer RNA is filed under the name Verrucomicrobiaceae bacterium. RNAcentral's name for it is "tRNA-Pro". It matches the Rfam family "tRNA". From Rfam's summary of the family: Transfer RNA (tRNA) molecules are approximately 80 nucleotides in length. The record is from RNAcentral. Lineage: Bacteria; Pseudomonadati; Verrucomicrobiota; Verrucomicrobiia; Verrucomicrobiales; Verrucomicrobiaceae.